This 373-nucleotide ribosomal RNA is filed under the name uncultured bacterium. RNAcentral describes it as "bacterial SSU rRNA". It matches the Rfam family "Bacterial small subunit ribosomal RNA", at positions 521 to 896 of the family's 1533-position model. The record is from RNAcentral.
UAAUACGGAGGGUGCAAGCGUUAUCCGGAUUCAUUGGGUUUAAAGGGUGCGUAGGCGGGGUGGUAAGUCAGUGGUGAAAUCCUGCAGCUCAACUGUAGAAUUGCCAUUGAUACUGCCAUUCUUGAGUGCGCUUGAAGUAGGCGGAAUGUGCCGUGUAGCGGUGAAAUGCUUAGAUAUGGCACAGAACACCAAUUGCGAAGGCAGCUUACUAAGGCGAUACUGACGCUGAGGCACGAAAGCGUGGGGAUCGAACAGGAUUAGAUACCCUGGUAGUCCACGCCGUAAACGAUGAUCACUCGUGAUUGGCGAUAUACGGUCAGUCACCUAGCGAAAGCGUUAAGUGAUCCACCUGGGGAGUACGAUCGCAAGAUUG